GCCGGGGAGGCCUAGUGGUUUGAGUGUGGGUCUAUGACUCUGGAGACCAGGGUUCGAUUCCCAGCUCAGAAA
Phrynosoma platyrhinos (Desert horned lizard) is the source of this 72-nucleotide non-coding RNA. The record is from the annotation of a GenBank genome assembly. Lineage: Eukaryota; Metazoa; Chordata; Lepidosauria; Squamata; Phrynosomatidae.